This 680-nucleotide ribosomal RNA is filed under the name Paenarthrobacter nitroguajacolicus. RNAcentral's name for it is "bacterial SSU rRNA". It matches the Rfam family "Bacterial small subunit ribosomal RNA", at positions 94 to 787 of the family's 1533-position model. Lineage: Bacteria; Bacillati; Actinomycetota; Actinomycetes; Micrococcales; Micrococcaceae. The record is from RNAcentral.
AGUGGCGAACGGGUGAGUAACACGUGAGUAACCUGCCCUUGACUCUGGGAUAAGCCUGGGAAACUGGGUCUAAUACCGGAUACGACCAUCUGGCGCAUGUCAUGGUGGUGGAAAGCUUUUGUGGUUUUGGAUGGACUCGCGGCCUAUCAGCUUGUUGGUGGGGUAAUGGCCUACCAAGGCGACGACGGGUAGCCGGCCUGAGAGGGUGACCGGCCACACUGGGACUGAGACACGGCCCAGACUCCUACGGGAGGCAGCAGUGGGGAAUAUUGCACAAUGGGCGAAAGCCUGAUGCAGCGACGCCGCGUGAGGGAUGACGGCCUUCGGGUUGUAAACCUCUUUCAGUAGGGAAGAAGCGAAAGUGACGGUACCUGCAGAAGAAGCGCCGGCUAACUACGUGCCAGCAGCCGCGGUAAUACGUAGGGCGCAAGCGUUAUCCGGAAUUAUUGGGCGUAAAGAGCUCGUAGGCGGUUUGUCGCGUCUGCUGUGAAAGACCGGGGCUCAACUCCGGUUCUGCAGUGGGUACGGGCAGACUAGAGUGCAGUAGGGGAGACUGGAAUUCCUGGUGUAGCGGUGAAAUGCGCAGAUAUCAGGAGGAACACCGAUGGCGAAGGCAGGUCUCUGGGCUGUAACUGACGCUGAGGAGCGAAAGCAUGGGGAGCGAACAGGAUUAGAUACCC